Long non-coding RNA from Carassius auratus (goldfish), 608 nucleotides. RefSeq lists it as uncharacterized. The record is from RefSeq and is a predicted model, not a curated record. The transcript has 2 exons. NCBI's taxonomy places the organism in Eukaryota, Metazoa, Chordata, Actinopteri, Cypriniformes, Cyprinidae.
CUGUUUAAAACAGCCGUGUUACAUUUACUUUCAUGUCUUUGUUUUUGAUUACACAGAGAAAGGGUCCAGAAUUCACAAAUUAAGACCCACACCAUCCAUCAAAACACCCAGCAACAUCUCUGAUUUGACUCCCAUUCAUUGUAAUGUAGUGUAGAGAACAAAACACCCUUUUAAUGAAAACCGCAGCCUUUUAAAUUAUGAAUAAUGUCCAUGGCCCCCCUCCUGAAACCUCAUGCCACACCAGGAAAAAAAAUCUCUAGAUCCGCCACUGCUAAAAUGCCUUGCUAACUCCUGUUUGUUUUCAUUUGUAUGAAUUAUGCCUACUGCUAUUUGUCUCAGAUUGAGAAAGAAACUCAGAAAAGCCAGAACAGACACUAAAAAGGAAGAACUGAAAGCCUUGCUUAAGAGAAUGUACAACAGGAAAACCAGCAGAGGGCUCAACAGAGGCAAGAGCAUGAGAGAGAAAAGGAACUUAAUUUCAAGCAGAAACAGAGAGAGUUGGUUGCCCAGGGGCACAAACCUUUCUACCUAAAGAAAUGAAAAUCUGUCUUUCUUUUUAUACUGUUCGCUGACUUUUUCAAUUUUUGAAAUAUACUUUAUGGAACAUG